GUGUUGGGUUCGGGGGACGCUGGCAGCUGGGUUCUCUCGGUUCCCUUGGGCAGGUGCAGGGUCGGGUUCAAAGCCUCCGGAACGCGUUUUGGCCUGAUUUGAGGAGGGGGGCGGGGAGGGACCUGCGGCUUGCGGCCCCGCCCCCUUCUCCGGCUCGCCGCCGACCGAUAAGCCCGCCUCCUCCCUUGGCCGGCCCUGGGGCCGUGUCCCCCGGGCAACUCCAGCCAAGGCCUGGGCUUCUGCCUGCAGGUGUCUGCGGCGAGGCCGCUAGGGUACAGCCCGAUUUGGCCCCAUGGUAGGUUUCGGGGCCAACCGGCGGGCUGGCCGCCUGCCCUCUCUAGUGCUGGUGGUGCUGCUGGUGGUGAUCGUCGUCCUCGCCUUCAACUACUGGAGCAUCUCCUCCCGCCACGUCCUGCUUCAGGAGGAGGUGGCCGAGCUGCAGGGCCAGGUCCAGCGCACCGAAGUGGCCCGCGGGCGGCUGGAAAAGCGCAAUUCGGACCUCUUGCUGUUGGUGGACACGCACAAGAAACAGAUCGACCAGAAGGAGGCCGACUACGGCCGCCUCAGCAGCCGGCUGCAGGCCAGAGAGGGCCUCGGGAAGAGAUGCGAGGAUGACAAGAGUCUGGCUCUGUGGCCCAGGCUGAAGUGCAGUGGUGCGAUCUCCGCUCACUGUAAGCGCUGCCUCCCAGGUUCACGCCAUUCUCCUGCCUCACCCUCCCGAGUAGCUGGGACUAUAGGAGCCUACCACCACGCCCGGCUAAUUUUUUGUAUUUUUAGUAGAGACGGGGUUUCACAGUGUUAGCCAGGAUGGUCUCUAUCUCCUGACCUCGUGAUCUGCCCACCUUGGCCUCCCAAAGUGCUGGGAUUACAGGCAUCAGCCACCGCGCCCAGCCCACAUGAUACUAAUUCUCAACAGGCAGAAUGAAAUAAAACCAUUUAUUGAUACAGUGCUUUAUGAUUUUUUCAAAGUUUAUUAUAUGCAUAAGUCAUUUAUUUGGGAAAGUUGAAUACCAUGUGGUAUGUGAUAGGGAUAGAAAGAUAGUAAGAUUCCCGUUCUUUGAAGAAGUGAGGGAGGCACACAUAGAAAAAUAAUCCAUAAUGCAUGAUUAAAUGCUAUAGUAAAGCUACUUACAAAGGGUUUUGAGAAUACAGAGGAAUAACUGAUUAACUUCCUCUGGAAGUCAAGAUCGAAAUAAUUCACUGAAAAGGUGAUCUUUAGUAAUUUAACAAAAUGAGCAAGGGAUAAGGACAGGAGGAACAUAAAUGAGGCCAGGAAAACUGGAAAGUGUGUUGUACCUUCACACAAGGUCAAGCAGUAGAAUAGGAGAGUGUAAUGUAAGGUACAUGGUAUUGAGAAGUAGGGGAAAUUAUGUCUGAGUUAAAGCUAUUUGGGACCAGAAUGAUGAUGAUUAUUGUUAUUACUAUUUUAUUGUGGUAAAACAUCUGUAACAAAAUUUACUAUUUUUACCAUUUUAAGUGUAUAAUUUAGUGGCAUUAAGUACAUUCACGAUGUUGCGUAACCAUGAUUACUACCAUCUAUUUCUAGAACUUUUUCACUAUCCCAAACCAAGCAAAACCUCUACCUAUUAAGCAGUAAUUCCCAUUGCCCUUCCCUCCAGCCUGUGGUAACCUCUAUUGUAGUUUCUGUGUCUAUGAAUUUGUCUAUUCUAGAUACCUCAUAUAGGUGGAUUAUACAAUAUUUGUCCUUUUGUAUCUGGCUUAUUUCACCUGGCAUAAUGUUUUCAAGAUUUGUUUAUGUCGUAGCAUGUAUCAGAACUUCAUUCCUCUUUAUGGCUGAAUAGUAUUUUAUUGUAUUGUUUAUACCAUGUUUUGUUUUUCAUUCAUCUGUUGAUGAACACUUGAGUUGUUCCCCUCUUUCAGUUAUUGUGAGUAAUGCCUCUAUAAACGGUGGUGUACAAGUU
Molecule: small RNA, 1922 nt
Filed under: Pongo abelii (Sumatran orangutan)
Lineage: Eukaryota; Metazoa; Chordata; Mammalia; Primates; Hominidae
Description: processed transcript
Source: RNAcentral